CCAGCUAUGUGACUCUUGAACUUCUGAAAAUCGUCACCGAUCAAUCCCAAAGCAACAAGCGUCUGCGAGUAUUAGAAUAAUCCUGCGAGUGAUGAGAUGCUGGUGAGUACUUGACAUAAUCUGGGAGCGCAAGACCUACUUAUGUUCUAGUCACAAGUGCUCUCAAUAUAUGUCAAAGUAUGUUCAUUUGUUCUUUAUUCAGUGGUAGAUGAUUAUUUUGGGAGGAGGGGUAUGAAUAACUAGUGGGGAGGAUAUCUCAUGCAAAGCGGGGACUGUUGACAAAAAUUGAAAAGAUUAUUAUGCACUAAGAAACAUGGCAGUAUAUGCUAGAUCAUGGAUCUUCCUUCAGUUGCGCAAAGGCAGUUAUGCGACCAGUCCAGGCAACCAGUGUGUAAAUGGGAUGAGUGAUGCAUCUCAUUUUUAGCAGCUCACCCAUUGAUUCCUUGUAUAUAGUUUUUCCAGGUCAGCAAUGAGGCGCUUGAAAACUGUGUAUGGAUCCUGGCAGAGGCUUGAACAUGACGCUAAAAAAUUUCAUUGUGAAAAACCAUCAUUAAGAGUGUGUAUGCUAACUGUAGGCGAAUGAGUGACAAUCAAGUAGCAACCACCAUUCAACUUAUGACCCUGCCUAUUAUCCAAUGCAAUCUGAACCCACACUAGUGGGUGCACUCAUACAGCAAUCCGCCAACCCGUCCG
RNAcentral lists this small RNA (693 nucleotides) under Histoplasma capsulatum. RNAcentral describes it as "hypothetical RNA". Lineage: Eukaryota; Fungi; Ascomycota; Eurotiomycetes; Onygenales; Ajellomycetaceae. The record is from RNAcentral. RNAcentral also lists the same sequence under 1 other name.